RNAcentral lists this unclassified non-coding RNA (328 nucleotides) under soil metagenome. RNAcentral describes it as "partial contains 5.8S ribosomal RNA, internal transcribed spacer 2, and large subunit ribosomal RNA". The stretch from base 1 to 120 matches the Rfam family "5.8S ribosomal RNA", at positions 35 to 154 of the family's 154-position model. The record is from RNAcentral.
GAUGAAGAACGUAGCGAAAUGCGAUAAUUAAUGUGAAUUUCAGAAUUUAGUGAAUCAUCGAAUCUUUGAACGCACAUUGCGCCCCUUGGUAUUCCGGGGGGCAUGCCUGUUCGAGCGUCAUUUCAACCCUCAAGCACUGCUUGGUCUUGGGCCACGCCGGCGACGGCAGGCCUCAAACGUAGUGGCGGCACCAUCGGUUCCCUCAGUGUAGUAAUAUCUCUCGCUGCUGGGCCCUGGUGGUCGCUAGCCAGCAACCUCAAUUUUUUCUGGUUGACCUCGGAUCAGGUAGGGAUACCCGCUGAACUUAAGCAUAUCAAUAAGCGGAGGA